This 211-nucleotide long non-coding RNA is filed under the name Elaeis guineensis (African oil palm). RNAcentral's name for it is "long non-coding RNA (EGUI_LNC009133)". The record is from RNAcentral. Lineage: Eukaryota; Viridiplantae; Streptophyta; Magnoliopsida; Arecales; Arecaceae.
UCUCCACACAUAAAGCAUUUUUGCAUGAGAUUUUUUGCACCAAUCUAAUGUUGAUCGACUCUUAUCUAAGUUCAUAAGAUGAAGAUAAAGUUUUAUUCAAAAUUUAAUUUAAGUUUGAUUUGAAUUGGUGAUAAGGAUCAACCAACGUUUGAAAUUGAACUGAAACUAUCUUUUCCUUAUCCUUAUCUUCUAUGGGAUGCCACCCUUAAGA